AACGAACGCUGGCGGCAUGCCUAACACAUGCAAGUCGAACGAGACCUUCGGGUCUAGUGGCGCACGGGUGCGUAACGCGUGGGAACCUGCCCUUAGGUUCGGAAUAACUCCCCGAAAGGGGUGCUAAUACCGGAUAAUGUCUUCGGACCAAAGAUUUAUCGCCUUUGGAUGGGCCCGCGUUGGAUUAGCUAGUUGGUAGGGUAAAAGCCUACCAAGGCGACGAUCCAUAGCUGGUCUGAGAGGAUGAUCAGCCACACUGGGACUGGGACACGGCCCAGACUCCUACGGGAAGCAGCAGUGGGGAAUAUUGGACAAUGGGCGAAAGCCUGAUCCAGCAAGGCCGCGUGAGUGAUGAAGGCCUUAGGGUUGUAAAGCUCUUCUACCCGGGAUGAUAAUGACAGUACCGGGAGAAUAAGCUCCGGCUAACUCCGUG
RNAcentral lists this ribosomal RNA (433 nucleotides) under uncultured bacterium. RNAcentral's name for it is "partial 16S ribosomal RNA". It matches the Rfam family "Bacterial small subunit ribosomal RNA", at positions 29 to 507 of the family's 1533-position model. The record is from RNAcentral.